Molecule: non-coding RNA, 90 nt
Organism: Vicugna pacos (alpaca)
Lineage: Eukaryota; Metazoa; Chordata; Mammalia; Artiodactyla; Camelidae
Source: RefSeq, a predicted model, not a curated record
CCCAUUAGAAGACUGAGUAAACUGACACCCUCAUUACACUGAAAUACUACACGGCUGCAGAAAGGAAUGGAGAGAUCGGAAGACACACGU